Molecule: ribosomal RNA, 390 nt
Filed under: uncultured bacterium
Lineage: Bacteria
Description: bacterial SSU rRNA
Rfam family: Bacterial small subunit ribosomal RNA
Source: RNAcentral
AGCGAACGCUGGCGGCAUGCUUAACACAUGCAAGUCGCACGGGCAGGGGAAACUCUGUCAGUGGCGGACGGGUGAGUAACGCGUAGGUAUCUAUCCUUGGGUGGGGGACAACGGCUGGAAACGGCUGCUAAUACCGCAUGAUGUCUGAGGACUAAAGGCGCGAGUCGCCUGAGGAGGAGCCUGCGUACGAUUAGCUAGUUGGUGGGGUAAAGCCUACCAAGGCNGUGAUCGUUAGCUGGUCUGAGAGGAUGAUCAGCCACAUUGGGACUGAGACACGGCCCAAACUCCUACGGGAGGCAGCAGUGGGGAAUAUUGGACAAUGGGCGCAAGCCUGAUCCAGCAAUGCCGCGUGUGUGAAGAAGGUCUUCGGAUUGUAAAGCACUUUCGGAC